Molecule: ribosomal RNA, 792 nt
Filed under: uncultured bacterium
Lineage: Bacteria
Description: bacterial SSU rRNA
Rfam family: Bacterial small subunit ribosomal RNA
Source: RNAcentral
AGAGUUUGAUCAUGGCUCAGAUUGAACGCUGGCGGCAUGCCUUACACAUGCAAGUCGAACGGCAGCGCGGGAGCAAUCCUGGCGGCGAGUGGCGAACGGGUGAGUAAUAUAUCGGAACGUGCCCUGUAGCGGGGGAUAACCUAUCGAAAGAUGGACUAAUACCGCAUACGCUCUACGGAGGAAAGCGGGGGUCGCAAGACCUCGCACUAUAGGAGCGGCCGAUAUCGGAUUAGCUAGUUGGCGGGGUAAAAGCCCACCAAGGCGACGAUCCGUAGCUGGUCUGAGAGGAUGAUCAGCCACACUGGAACUGAGACACGGUCCAGACUCCUACGGGAGGCAGCAGUGGGGAAUUUUGGACAAUGGGCGCAAGCCUGAUCCAGCCAUGCCGCGUGAGUGAAGAAGGCCUUCGGGUUGUAAAGCUCUUUCGGCAGGAACGAAAUGGUUCGUGCUAAUACCACGGACUGAUGACGGUACCUGAAGAAGAAGCACCGGCUAACUACGUGCCAGCAGCCGCGGUAAUACGUAGGGUGCAGGCGUUAAUCGGAAUUACUGGGCGUAAAGCGUGCGCAGGCGGUUUCUUAAGUCAGAUGUGAAAGCCCCGGGCUUAACCUGGGAACUGCGUUUGAAACUGGGAGACUUGAGUGUGGCAGAGGGGGGUGGAAUUCCACGUGUAGCAGUGAAAUGCGUAGAUAUGUGGAGGAACACCGAUGGCGAAGGCAGCCCCCUGGGUUAACACUGACGCUCAUGCACGAAAGCGUGGGGAGCAAACAGGAUUAGAUACCCCAGUAGUCC